AACCCAUGAUGAGGGCUUGCAAAAGGUCCUUGUAUCUCUCCCAUGCAUCGUAGAGUGUUUCUAAAUCCAUCUGCUCAAAAGAGGAGAUAUCAUUACGUAAUUU
Molecule: small nucleolar RNA, 103 nt
Organism: Gossypium arboreum
Lineage: Eukaryota; Viridiplantae; Streptophyta; Magnoliopsida; Malvales; Malvaceae
Rfam family: Plant small nucleolar RNA R71
About the family: R71 is a member of the C/D box family of snoRNAs containing the C (UGAUGA) and D (CUGA) box motifs. Multiple nearly identical copies of this snoRNA have been identified in Arabidopsis, and it is thought to function as a 2'-O-ribose methylation guide for 18S ribosomal RNA.
Source: Rfam